Molecule: long non-coding RNA, 951 nt
Filed under: Phoenix dactylifera (date palm)
Lineage: Eukaryota; Viridiplantae; Streptophyta; Magnoliopsida; Arecales; Arecaceae
Description: long non-coding RNA (PDAC_LNC010385)
Source: RNAcentral
AGCUCUUUGAGCAAUUUGGCAUGCCAUCUAUCACUUUUAGAUUUGAAUCAAGUUGAAGUGUAAAUUAAUGAAAUAUUGAUGCUAACAACAAUUAAAAACCAAAUACUUUUGACUCUCCCCCUUUCUUUUCCAGAAGGACAAUUGUCUUAAAGCCAAUAUUCUUCAAUUUUAUCUUUUCAUUUGUUGAUUCUAAAUAAACUUUCAUUUGUCUUAAAGCCAAUAAAUUUUGCAUUUUGCAUUUCUAUUUCAAGUAUGAGUGUAAAUUUUGCAUUUUGCAUUUCUAUUGGUUCUACUCCCCCUUUUUGUCAUCAACAAUGAAGGGGACAAAUUUUCUUAGGUAUCUAACACGCGAUGCCUAUUAGAAUUUAGCAUUACCAUGAAACAAGCAAUGAUCUCCAAGUUAUGCACCCCCUUUCUAAGUUAUUUCCAUCAAUGAAUUCAGCAUUCAUUUUAUUCCCCCUUUGUUUUGGAAUUCAUUUCAGACCUUUUGAAUGCAGUUAUUACAAGUUGUGCUCCUCCUGUUUCAUAUGCAUUGACAAGUUGGCAAAAUAGUAAAAUGGUUGCACAUUGUCAAAUUUGAACAUUCAAAGCAUGUUAUGACAUUUUCAUGGCACAUCACAGAAUUAGAAACAUACAUCAAGAUUCAAAAAGAAGGGUAUGACAUUCAUAUGGUAUUACAAUCAUUUGAAGCCAUUACAAGGAUAAAAAGUCAUUACAAGGAUUGAUUGUUAAUACAAAAGAAGGAGUUUCAAAUAAGCCUAGGGUUUUACAAAAAGAUGAACCCUAGAUGUCCACAAAAUGUCCCUCACCGGCGACCACGCUCAAUAGCCCCAGCAGCAGCCUCUAUAAAUCUAUUUAUUGCAUCCAUUAGGCUUCUAAAGUGAUCUCCCUGAGAUUGAUUGAGGGCUGUCACUAGUGCUUCAAACUCAUGAGUUGCCCUGUCAAUCCUUC